UAGCAUAUCAAUAAGCGGAGGAAAAGAAACCAACAGGGAUUGCCCUAGUAACGGCGAGUGAAGCGGCAACAGCUCAAAUUUGAAAUCUGGCUUCGGCCCGAGUUGUAAUUUGUAGAGGAAGCUUUUGGUGAGGCACCUUCUGAGUCCCCUGGAACGGGGCGCCAUAGAGGGUGAGAGCCCCGUAUAGUCGGAUGCCGAUCCAAUGUAAAGCUCCUUCGACGAGUCGAGUAGUUUGGGAAUGCUGCUCAAAAUGGGAGGUAAAUUUCUUCUAAAGCUAAAUACCGGCCAGAGACCGAUAGCGCACAAGUAGAGUGAUCGAAAGAUGAAAAGCACUUUGAAAAGAGGGUUAAAUAGCACGUGAAAUUGUUGAAAGGGAAGCGUUUGUGACCAGACUUGCGCCGUUCCGAUCAUCCGGUGUUCUCACCGGUGCACUCGGGACGGCUCAGGCCAGCAUCGGUUUUGGCGGGGGGACAAAGGUCCUGGGAACGUAGCUCCUCCGGGAGUGUUAUAGCCCAGGGCGUAAUGCCCUCGCCGGGACCGAGGUUCGCGCAUCUGCAAGGAUGCUGGCGUAAUGGUCAUCAACGACCCGUCUUGAAACACGGACCAAGGAGUCAAGGUUUUGCGCGAGUGUUUGGGUGUAAAACCCGCACGCGUAAUGAAAGUGAACGUAGGUGAGAGCUUCGGCGCAUCAUCGACCGAUCCUGAUGUAUUCGGAUGGAUUUGAGUAAGAGCGUUAAGCCUUGGACCCGAAAGAUGGUGAACUAUGCUUGGAUAGGGUGAAGCCAGAGGAAACUCUGGUGGAGGCUCGCAGCGGUUCUGACGUGCAAAUCGAUCGUCAAAUCUGAGCAUGGGGCGAAAGACUAAUCGA
Molecule: ribosomal RNA, 868 nt
Filed under: Neurospora tetraspora
Lineage: Eukaryota; Fungi; Ascomycota; Sordariomycetes; Sordariales; Sordariaceae
Description: LSU rRNA
Rfam family: Eukaryotic large subunit ribosomal RNA
Source: RNAcentral